Non-coding RNA from Ictidomys tridecemlineatus (thirteen-lined ground squirrel), 345 nucleotides. The record is from RefSeq and is a predicted model, not a curated record. NCBI's taxonomy places the organism in Eukaryota, Metazoa, Chordata, Mammalia, Rodentia, Sciuridae.
CUCUUGGGUUUCAGAGUGGCCAGGACCUAGGGCUUCUCUUCUUCACACCAUGGCCCCAAGGGAAGGCCGCCCUCCCCAGCCCAGCCACCCUGGCCCCAGGCUGCCCUUACCGAUGGUGGUGACGGUGGACACAGAGAAGAAGAAGGAGCCCAAGAGCUCCCAGCGCCCCAUGCUGGUGGUGUUGCUCAGCAGGAAGCACGCGGCCAGUCUUGACGUGGUACUUUUAGGGGCCAGAGGAUGAGAGACAGGACCUCAGCCCUCAUGGGACAGAGACGUACUGAAUGAACUCUGACGUCGUGCAACGGUGGCCGUUUGGACAUUAAGGAAGCAGUGUCCAGGAUCCUG